This is a long non-coding RNA of Sinocyclocheilus rhinocerous, 944 nucleotides long. RefSeq lists it as uncharacterized. The record is from RefSeq and is a predicted model, not a curated record. The transcript has 5 exons. Lineage: Eukaryota; Metazoa; Chordata; Actinopteri; Cypriniformes; Cyprinidae.
UUAACAUAAGAAAAGUUUUCCAGGUCUGUGGUGAUUCCUCCAUGGAGGACGCUGUGGAACCGGUUACAGAACUAAUGGAGAGGAGGUGGAGUUGAUCCUGCUCCCAAGGGCAGGACAUCAUGGUCUGGUGCAACUCAGAGGAGGAACUCUGCCUUUUCUAGAGUCAUCUUCUUUGUUUUGUGCUAAUGGGCCAGAUGCACGGAGACCAGUGAUGCACUGAAGUCUUAUGCAAAGAGCUGAAUAUGUUAUAUGAAUGUUAUGCAGAAAAAAAAGAAAGAAAAUGAACUAAAUGGAGUAGCUUACCCCCUGUUUGGUUUCUGUGAGCUUGGUUUCUGUUGGUUGGGGGACCAACAGAUUAAAACAUUACCAUGAAAUAAAAUAAAAAAAUGUCAACAGAAAUGUCAUAUGAAAUAACACAAUAAAAACGUCUUUAGACAAGUCCCUACUGUAGCUUUCACUUUACUGAGAAACCGAAUCUGAUGAGGAGAGGGAGGAGUUCAUUGAGGAAGUGUUAGAGUAUUUAAGCGAGAGGAAACAGAGACCCCUCCUUUCUAUCCUGCAGACUCUCUUGUCUGAUAUGGAGCGGAGAUGGACAGCUUGUAUGCUGUGAUCUAGUGUGCAGACUGCUGCCACUAGAUGACUGCGCACGAGUUGAGACGUCACGCUGCCUAAGGAUCUGUUUGGCAUUGUGCCGAUGCUUGCGUUUAUUAUUAUUUUAUUUUGAGGAGGAGAGGAGGAGAACCCAACUGCCAAGGGAUUCGGGCACUCGGGUCCACUGCCCUGUUCUAGUGCAUUCUCUGGCAACACUGGAUCUCUGGCCGGGGUCCAGUGGACCUGCAGUGAACAGCGCCAGGUCCAGGACCCGCUGACAAAGCACCAGAAAACUAGAAGCAACCAAACAAAUCACACAAACAAGAAAACUGAAGCCGACUACUACCCUUAAA